This 70-nucleotide transfer RNA is filed under the name Esomus metallicus (striped flying barb). Its description in RNAcentral is "tRNA-Tyr". It matches the Rfam family "tRNA". Rfam says of the family: Transfer RNA (tRNA) molecules are approximately 80 nucleotides in length. Their secondary structure includes four short double-helical elements and three loops (D, anti-codon, and T loops). Further hydrogen bonds mediate the characteristic L-shaped molecular structure. tRNAs have two regions of fundamental functional importance: the anti-codon, which is responsible for specific mRNA codon recognition, and the 3' end, to which the tRNAs corresponding amino acid is attached (by aminoacyl-tRNA synthetases). tRNAs cope with the degeneracy of the genetic code in two manners: having more than one tRNA (with a specific anti-codon) for a particular amino acid; and 'wobble' base-pairing, i.e. permitting non-standard base-pairing at the 3rd anti-codon position. The record is from RNAcentral. Lineage: Eukaryota; Metazoa; Chordata; Actinopteri; Cypriniformes; Danionidae.
GGUAGGGUGGCCGAGUGCAAGGCGGUGGAUUGUAGCUCCAUGAACAGAGGUUUAAAUCCUCUCUCUAUCA